RNAcentral lists this unclassified non-coding RNA (307 nucleotides) under plant metagenome. RNAcentral describes it as "partial contains 5.8S ribosomal RNA, internal transcribed spacer 2, and large subunit ribosomal RNA". The stretch from base 1 to 105 matches the Rfam family "5.8S ribosomal RNA", at positions 50 to 154 of the family's 154-position model. The record is from RNAcentral.
GAAAUGCGAUAAGUAGUGUGAAUUGCAGAAUUCAGUGAAUCAUCGAAUCUUUGAACGCACAUUGCGCCCGCCAGCACUCUGGCGGGCAUGCCUGUUCGAGCGUCAUUUCAACCCUCAGAACCCCUUGCGGGAUCUGGCGUUGGGGAUUGGCAUCCAGCCAGCCCCGAAAUCUAGUAGCGGUCCCUCCGCGACCUCCCCUGUGCAGUAGCGAUACCUCGCAGCGGGACAGCGGUCUGACCACGCCGUAAAACCCCCAACUUCUCAAGGUUGACCUCGAAUCAGGUAGGAAUACCCGCUGAACUUAAGC